RNAcentral lists this long non-coding RNA (808 nucleotides) under Homo sapiens (human). RNAcentral's name for it is "long intergenic non-protein coding RNA 3136". Lineage: Eukaryota; Metazoa; Chordata; Mammalia; Primates; Hominidae. The record is from RNAcentral.
GGGGUCAGUCCAGAAGCCUUCAGAUAACACCAGGGUGUAGUCCUGGCGAGAAAUCUUCAGUUGCUUCAGGACCUUUUCUAGCCCCACGCGACGGCUAGGUCCUCCGUGAGAGAAAACUGGUUCGAGAAGCAUGGCCAACAUUCCCAAUGAUCCGCAGAUGUGGUUUCCACCUGGCCGGUGCCAUGACACCCACACACAUGGCGACAAGGAGAAGGGAGAAGAAAACCUAUUUGUUGUAUAUACCUGGCUUUUGGCACAGCUGCCGGGAUUCACCUGUGCAAGUUUCCAGCUUGCUUAUCUAUGCUUGCAGCUUGAUUUUUCAGGCUACUUUCUGUUAGAAAAGAAAUGAUUUGGGGGCUGCUUUCUAUUAAAAGAAAAACCUUACCAAGGACUCCUGUACCCUCACUAUCUGCCUAAAUAAUUUCUUAACGCCUAUAUUAUUCCCUUUAAAUAAAUUUUUUUGUGGUGUUUGUCUUAUUGUUAUUAGGUUAUGAGAAUUCAUUAUACAUUCAAGAAAUAUAUAAUUCAUUAUAUAAAAAUAGUUUUAUAAAUUAAAUAUAAAUAUAUAAAUAUAUAAUUUAUUACAUAGUCAGGAAAUAUAUUCAGUCCUUUUUGGGAAAUAUUUUCUCUCAGUCUAUAGUUUGUCCUUUCUUAUACUUAACAGUAUGUUUUUUAGAGCAGAAGGUUUUACUUUAAAAAAUUAUUAAUAUUAUUUUGACUGAUAUCUUUGACUAGAACAUUACUGGUGUAUAGAAAUGGCACUGAUAUCUGUACAUUAAUUUUGUAUCUUUAAACUUUAACUGAAUUC